RNAcentral lists this ribosomal RNA (467 nucleotides) under uncultured bacterium. RNAcentral's name for it is "partial 16S ribosomal RNA". It matches the Rfam family "Bacterial small subunit ribosomal RNA", at positions 28 to 506 of the family's 1533-position model. The record is from RNAcentral.
GACGAACGCUGGCGGCGUGCUUAACACAUGCAAGUCGAACGGAAAGGCCCUGCUUUUGUGGGGUGCUCGAGUGGCGAACGGGUGAGUAACACGUGAGUAACCUGCCCUUGACUUUGGGAUAACUUCAGGAAACUGGGGCUAAUACCGGAUAGGAGCUCCUGCUGCAUGGUGGGGGUUGGAAAGUUUCGGCGGUUGGGGAUGGACUCGCGGCUUAUCAGCUUGUUGGUGGGGUAGUGGCUUACCAAGGCUUUGACGGGUAGCUGGCCUGAGAGGGUGACCGGCCACAUUGGGACUGAGAUACGGCCCAGACUCCUACGGGAGGCAGCAGUGGGGAAUAUUGCACAAUGGGCGGAAGCCUGAUGCAGCAACGCCGCGUGCGGGAUGACGGCCUUCGGGUGGUAAACCGCUUUCGCCUGUGACGAAGCGUGAGUGACGGUAAUGGGGAAAGAAGCACCGGCUAACUACGU